GUGCCUCUUCCCAGGUGGCUGAAGUACCAUUAAUGGAGGGAAAGCUUUCACAAGGGUAGCCUUCUUUCCUGGGUAACCUUCUCAGUAGUUUGGGGGAGGGCAUGGAGCCAGCCCACAAAGGAGUUCAGGGGCAGGGCAGUGGGAGCUGAAGAAAGAAGAGGUUAGUGCCACUGCAGACCUGCUCUAGUUCACAACAGAGUAAUAGAAAAACAAGAAGAUAAGAAGAAAAACAAGUGGAUCUCUAUGACCUUGGCACUUUGGGACCUGAGUGGAAAGUCAGAGAGAGCUUUUGCUAUCUCCAUGCAACUUCAUGAGGUGAGACAAAGAACUACUGAGAAAAGAAAACACACCAGUGAACUGAACAGUUAUUGGAAUUUCUAGAAGGCUGGAAGGUGAUUUCAUUGCAACCAAUCAGAUUGGAACAACUUCUUCAUCUACAUCAGAAGGCGUUCCUCACCAAUGGAGCUCAAAGCUCUGGGAAGGAUGCACCUGGAGCACCAAGAACAGGAGGGAGGAAGGAAGGAAACUCUGGCUGAACAGGUGCACCUGAACACUAUUGACUUUGUCAAUAAAGGGAAAAGCUACAAAAGCCAGAGCUUCCUCAUAUCACAUCUUUUACCUCAGAAUUUCUAUCUUGCUUCAGUAAGAAACUUAAUGUCCAAUUUAAUCAGGGUGGAGAAAGAAGUCUUGAAGAUAAAGUUGUGGAGUGUCUCCUAGCACUGUAAGGACAAGAAUAAUGUUGGAAUAUGCAAAGGCAUCAUGUAGCAGUCAAAUGAGGCUUAACUCUGAGUCUUACAGAUGUGACUUUUGGGUCUUCCAGGUGUUUCCUGUUGGUGCAGAAAGAUGGAUCACAACGGGGUCUGAGCUAAGCAAUCAGUGCAGGGGAACAAGAAUGGGGUAGUGAGCUAUAAAAGAACUUAGUCAUUUCAUGAAUUCUGGAAACUCAAAAGGUAAGAGGAGUUAAAUGAGUUGAUUAAAUGAAAAUGAGGAAUAGUGUGUGUAAAUAGCCCACUGGGAAACACCAAGAACAAUAAAUGAAAAUAUUUAGAGAUUGGGGAAAGAAGGAAGCUCCACACAGGACAAGUUGGAGGCUAAGGGUGCAGAGCUAAGGAUGAGGCAUGGCUGAGAAUUUCUGUAGGAAGAGUCCAAUAGUCAUGGGUUGAGAUAAAUAUACUAGGAAAGAGGUCUGAACCAAGAAAGAUGCUCCUGAGGCCUUAUCAUUAAAGAACCCUGAUCCCCAGAGAUAUAGGCAGCUAAGAGAAACCUCAGCUUCAUCUAGAAGGAGAAGGAAAGAGAAAAUGGAGCAUAAAUUAGCAGGUAAAGACAUGAAGACAGGAAAGGAGUGUUCAGUAUUUAUUUAUUAAAUUAAAUUUAUUAGAGUGACAUCGUAUAUAAU
Molecule: long non-coding RNA, 1396 nt
Organism: Myotis davidii
Lineage: Eukaryota; Metazoa; Chordata; Mammalia; Chiroptera; Vespertilionidae
Exons: 3
Source: RefSeq, a predicted model, not a curated record